This 76-nucleotide transfer RNA is filed under the name Bacillus sp. KH172YL63. RNAcentral describes it as "tRNA-Phe". It matches the Rfam family "tRNA". From Rfam's summary of the family: Transfer RNA (tRNA) molecules are approximately 80 nucleotides in length. Their secondary structure includes four short double-helical elements and three loops (D, anti-codon, and T loops). The record is from RNAcentral. Lineage: Bacteria; Bacillati; Bacillota; Bacilli; Caryophanales; Bacillaceae.
UGGCUCAGUAGCUCAGUUGGUAGAGCAAUGGACUGAAAAUCCAUGUGUCGGCGGUUCGAUUCCGUCCUGAGCCAUC